CGGUCCCUGGUGCAUUCGCCAGACAUUCUGUCCUCGAGCCGAUAAGCGUUAACCGGGGGUGACCGUUGGCGUUGGUGUGCAAGUCCGGCAUGACCGGGAAGCCUUAAACGUCACGGAAGCCACCACCUUGAACCAUUUCGGGUUCAAGGGCCGUACCGUCAGCGGUGCUCCGGGUACCGA
This 180-nucleotide non-coding RNA is filed under the name Congregibacter sp. Its description in RNAcentral is "6S RNA". It matches the Rfam family "6S / SsrS RNA". From Rfam's summary of the family: E. coli 6S RNA was the first non coding RNA to be sequenced, but its function was unknown until recently. It consists of 184 nucleotides that fold into an extended hairpin structure with a large single-stranded internal bulge. The 6S RNA specifically associates with RNA polymerase holoenzyme containing the sigma70 specificity factor. Lineage: Bacteria; Pseudomonadati; Pseudomonadota; Gammaproteobacteria; Cellvibrionales; Halieaceae. The record is from RNAcentral.